UAUAUAAAUAUUUGAACCAAGCUCAAAAAAUUUCCCAAGCAUUAAUAUUACAUGAUGUAGUUACAAUUUCUUUCACAUGUCGACUUACGUUAUGGUCUUUAUAUUAAUUAUCAAUAUCCUGAGCCAUUAAUCCAAAUAGGUGGGAACAGCAGAGGUGAAGUUCUAUUUAUGUAAAGGAAGUUAUCCGUUGUUAUCACUAUGCGAAAAGUCAUAUCCAAGUAGUCUUUCAAUUCUAGAGAAUUCAGUGCUAUCGAAACUGCAUUCAACAAUGCAAAACUGAAGUCUGUAUAACGAUCGUAGAUGAAGGAGAAAGGAAAAUAACGUAAACAACAAGAAAAAGUGUGUCCAACAUCUCUAUGUUUAUGUUUACAUCUGCAUUUACGUCCAAUAUUGGAUUGUUCAUUAUCGUAUUUGAGUUUGGUUAAAUAGUGUUUCGUUCGUUUUAAGACUUGAAUAUCAAAAAUUUCGUUGCCGACCUACCUAGAAAUUUGUAUAAUUUGUGGCAAAUAUGUUGAAAAAGAAAAUAAUCUUUCCUUGCAUGGCUCGUGCACAUCAUAUCCACUUGGGCAAUUAGUGGAACAAACAGUUAGAGCCAAUCUUCGGGGAAUUCAAGGACGUGUUUCUUCCGAUAGUUCCAUAGAGACAUUGUCUGCAAUUUCUACAUAUGAAACUUUAACUGCUUCACAGUCUUCCAGUGAAACUGGAUCUGAAUCUCCUGAAGAAUCUUCAACUGCAGUAACUUUCAGUGUUUCUUAAAUGAUUCUUGAUAGAACUUGUCCAAGAACAUCGAGAAAAAGGAGACUCAAGAGAAAAUCAUAUAUGGAGAUUUUAGUGAUUCUGACUUCUCCUAUCCUAAGAAAGCAAAAAGAUCUUUUGCAGUAGCCAAAACAGUUAUUCAGCAGAAGAACAGAAAACUGAAAACGUUACAGCAAGCUUACAAAAGAUUGAAGUACACUUGAACAAUUCAAAGUCAUUGCUGAAGCAUUUGCGGGAAGAGAACAUUCUGUCUGAAUCUGCAGAAGAGGUCAUAGAGGUAAGUUAAUACAGGGUGUCCGCUCCAUGGGACAGCAGUCGAUUACGAUUACUCUAAUUCCAUUAACUUUACAAAAAAGAAUUUCGAUUAAAACUUUCCUCUUUUGGAGUAAAGCAUCUCCUUAAAUUAUUUAGAACUACAUAAAAUGUUUCGUUUCUUUUGCACAGCUAUCAACUUCGUUUUUUUAAAUGGAACAGCCUACAUAUUUUUACUACCUUGUUAAAUUUGAAUAGGGUUUGAUGUCACAACUAUAUUGAAUUCUGAACGGUUUUCGAGAAAUUUGACUUUUCAUUAAUAUUUUUACAGUCCGACGUACUUCCAUAAAGGA
Molecule: long non-coding RNA, 1361 nt
Organism: Coccinella septempunctata (seven-spotted ladybird)
Lineage: Eukaryota; Metazoa; Arthropoda; Insecta; Coleoptera; Coccinellidae
Exons: 3
Source: RefSeq, a predicted model, not a curated record